AACAGUACUGGGAAACCCUUCAGGAACAGUUCUGAGCUGCCUGAACAGUAGCGGCGCGUGGACCCCACGCACCGCCGUGACUGGCGGCGCGUGGGCUCACGCGCCGCCCCGAAAAUCAGGCAGCGUGAGGGGGCUGUAAUGGCUUCCUCCCCUCUUCUCUUCUUGCUAUCCGUCACCUGCAAAUCCAAAGAAAACACACAGCAAGCAGUCGAUUUUAAGUUUUCGGGUCUAGAUCUGUUUUUUUGGGUCUUUUCCGUUUUGAAUCCGCUUCUCCUUUACAGAUCGGUCCUUCUCCUUUUUGUUUCCCCUUCUCUGUUUCAGGUGGUCAUUUCUAUGACCAAGGGGGAGGCGCCGGCUGCUAGGCUUUCGUUGUUGCUCGCGGCCGCUGGAGCUGUUGCAGGGAUGGGUGAGAUGCUGGCGGCGUCGAGGCGGAGGAGUGACAGAUCGGUGGGUGUCUCUGCUGGAGGCUGUGAGCUGGGUCUGUGGGUGCUGCCAGGGACGGUGCUGCUGUUGUUGAAACUACGGUGGAGCUGGCUGGUGGGUUACUGGCGGUGUCCUCGGUGGUGCUGAAGCUGACGGUGGCGCUGGGAUGUUCUAGGCAGAGGGGCUGUCUGAGAAGAAAAAAAAUAAAAGCCAAAGGUGGGGAACCGGGUUCGGUGGGCUGUUAUGGUGAAGAUGAAGAUGGCUGGGGUUCGGGGCUUGUCCGGCGGCUGAGGAAGAAGAAAAUCAAGAGGGAGGGGUUCGGGGCUGCUGGCUUUGAAAGUGGAAAGGGGGGAAUAAGCCGGCUCUGGUUUCUGAAGGAUGAGUAGCCGAAGGAGAAGAAAGGGAGAAACAGCCGAGAGGAGGAUCAGGGAGCUGUCUUGGAUUUUUUUUUUGUGGCCGGCGGCUGUAGAAAAAAAUUAAAACCAGGGGGGAGGGGGCGGCGGCUGCUUUAAAAAAAAUGGGUUUUAGGUUUAGGUUUUGUGUUUUUUUUUCUGUGAUAUUUCAAAAUUGCCCCCCCUUUAAAAAUCAGUUUAGCAUGGUAUUUAUAGGCAAAAAUAUUGCUAGGUUUUUCGACUUGGUCCCUCAACUUCUUUCUUUUUGUAAAUUUUGAUUUUUAUUAUUUUUUUUAUAUUUUUUGAAAACGAGCAAUAUCAACGUCGACUCAAAAUGCGGAAAAUCAAUGACUUUAAAAAUGACGCGCGAAAAGUCGAACGCGUUUGAAAAUAUUUUAACAAUUUAAAUUCCUUUUUUAGACGACGUUGAAAAUGCUAAAAUGACGAAAAUAUAUUAAAAAACAUAUUUUUUUGGAUUUUCUUUGUUUUUUCUCAAUUUUUUUGGAUUUUUGAAAAUAUAUCAAAACAUGGGUCAAAAAUUGGGUAGCAACAGAUGCCCCCUCUUUACAAUGCUUACGAAGCGAAACAUCCUCAAAAUUUUGCAUAGUAAGCUUUGUAAAGAAAACAAACGGAAAAUGAUUUCAUUAUCUUGGGCGACCUGCCCACACACUCACACUGAUCUGUUUUCACGGGCGACCUACCCACACGUACUCACUCAAGUCUAUUUUCACGGGCGACCUGCCCACACAUACUCACUCAAGUCUAUUUUCACGGGCGACCGACCCACACUCUCCCAAUAGUCUAUUUUCACGGGCGACCUGCCCACACAUUGGGUUUACCUGAGAUCCCAUCUGGCGACCUCAUUCAACUGGAACGAAAAUAUGUGUAACUCGGUUAACCUGAAAUCUCAUCUGGCGAUUCCCUUUAACCAAAGUUACAUGAGAUCCCAUCUGGCGACCUCAUUCAACUGGAACGAAAUAUGUGUAACUCGGUUAACCUGAAAUCCCAUCUGGCGAUUCCCUUUAACCAAAGCUACAUGAGAUCCCAUUUGGCGACCUCAUUCUGGUCUCAUUGUACGGGUGACUAACCCUCAAAAAAUGCUGGUCUCAUUGUAUGGGUGACGAACCCUAGUGCUGCUGGUCUCAUUGUACGGGUGACGAACCCUAGUGCUGGUCUCAUUGUACGGGUGACGAACCCUAGAAAUAUGAUGGUCUCAUUGUAUGGGUGACGAACCCCAGAAAUAUGAUGGUCUCAUUGUAUGGGUGACGAACCCAGAAAUAUGAUGGUCUCAUUGUAUGGGUGACGAACCCCAGAAAAAUGAUGGUCUCAUUGUAUGGGUGACGAACCCAGAUGGAAAAAAUGUGAAGUGCGGUCUCAUUGUAAUGGGUGACCUACCCACGUGGAAAAAAUAUGAUGAAGUGCGGUCUCAUUGUCAUGGGUGACCUACCCGGAUGGAAAAAAUGUGAAAAACGGUCUUAUUAUGAUGGGCGACCUACCCAGAUGGAAAAAAAUGUGAUAUGACAAGUGUGAAAAAUAGGACUUACCUGGCGAAGUUCUGAAGGAUGACAGAAGAAAGGGCUGGAAAACUUGGUGCUUCCUGAUAAUUCCCGAUCAUGGGGUUUGAAAACUCGUGUUUCCUGACUGCAAGGGUUGAAAACUCGAGGCUUCCCGGUUGCAAGGUUGAUCUAUUCAUUUCUUUGGGAUUUUCCUAAUGGUAGGUUCAUCCCAUCGUCCUUUUAUUCCAUGAUCAAAACCGAUUUUUAUUAUCAUCACCACAAUGCUUCUUUCUCUUUCCACCAUCUUGCUGGACCUCAUUAAGGAUUUUCCUGUAACAAUUCAAAAAUAUGUGCAAAUGUUUUUUUUUUUUUUUAGGUUAGAUGAUAUGCAUGCAUCCUUACCUGAUUUGAAAUAUAGGUCCCCCCUAUUUGAUGCUCCAUCGUCAUAGGGUGCCCUUGUUUGUAUCCCAAAGCUUUCUUUGUUCUUCCGAUGUAUUGGCUCAUUCAUGUGUUAGCCAUCCACUCAGCUGUAAAUGUAGUGCCCAUCCCGGGUUGUCUUCGACAAUUACUGCUUGCAUCGUUCAUGAAGCUUGACCCUGCCCCCAAGUGUAGUACUGCUUGAUUCAUCAUGAGAGAUUUUCUCUCCUGGCUUCUUCUGAGAAAUUAUCCUCUGAUUGAUUUGUGCAUCAUGCCAACACCCAUCAGUUUGUUAAUCAGUCAUGAACUUGCCUUCGGUUGAAACACCAUUCAAGUAUGUAUGGUCACCAGCCUUCAUGGAACUGCCAAGUCAUCCAGACAUGUAUCUCAUGCUUUGCAGUAAACACUCAUCAUUGUAAGCGCGAUGUAUUUCUCUAUGGAUUCCUCUUAGCUUGUCAAAUCAGAUCGUGAAAAUACCUGCUUUGGCAUCAUCAAUGAUGUUCAUGUUAUCACCCAUAUUCAUGCGGUGAAGUGCGCAUUUGAGCUUCAGAAUAGAUGUCCCACAAUCAGUCUUCGAGGUGGGUGCCUUUCCGACAUUCAUUCAGUGCAGUUGUGUGAUAACAUCUGUCUAUAACCAUUUCAAAGAAUGACAAUAUGAGAUUGUCCUUUAAGUGCAGCAUUGUUCCACAGUCAGUCUUGGUGGUAUGCAUCUUUUCUCCAUUCAAUUACAUUCAUCUGUGUAUUCCUCAUCGAUCGCGAGCCAUGUUUCAAAAAAUGAUGAUAGGAAAGUGCCCUUCAGGUACGUUUUUGUUUCUCCAUUGCCGACAGGAUUCACUAAAGCAUGGGCCAUUUUGGAAUGACAUUGCCCCCAGUAUGAUCCGAAUGUGCUCGUUCAUUGAUUAUCUGUCUUUGAACAUCAUUGUCUUCAGUUCACUGAUUCAUCAUUUAAACAUUGCCUCAUAGCUGAUCUGAGCACUGCUUGUUUUUCCUUUUCAAGGUCUACUGUAUUGCCCCAGCUGCUCAACUUUUCAAGGAGUGUCGAGGACUUCAAUGUCAUUUCUAUCAACGAUUUUGCAUACUCAAUCAAUGUUCUUCUGUGUUUGAUAAUCUUCCUUGUUCUGGAAUCAACUCUCAUAUUUCAAAGAUCAUGUCUAUUCAAAGUCUAGUUUGUUGAAAUGAAAUCAGAGUUUUUUUUGAAAAUCUUUUGAAAAUCAAGCUUUUUGAUCAAAGGCCCAACACAUUUUAUUCGAAAUAUAUAGUCCUUUGAUUGUCAUGCAUUUUGAAAACAGAAAUUGACCCAAUGUAGGAUUAAAAAUGGCUUUUUCCAUGGUUCUUUGUAUCAAUUUGAAUCCUUGAUAUUGGGUAUAUCAUUUGAUAGUUUAUGGUGAGGUGACCUUCUGUGAAUUUCAAAAAACAAAUGCUCAAGUCAAAACUGGCUUUAUCAAGAAAGGUUGUUUUUUCUUAUAACUUUUUAUCAGCAUGCAUAAUAACCAAUAGCUUAAUUCAUGAAGUCACGACCCUUAUGGAAAAACUCUUCAAAUUUUGAGAGCGCCAUUUAUCGGUUCAAAUUGCUUGCUUGAUUAAAAAGGGCUUUUAAAAAAAGCACGUAAUGCAGGCUAUGGUUCAUGGCUAUGAAAGAAAGGAAUUUCAAAGGCUCAAAAGGUGUUUGAGGGUUUCAAAGACCUAGGAUCAACAUCAACUAUUCAUCAACUCUUUUAUAUUGUUGUCUUUGUAGAGGAAACGACAUAUAACCUUGUUAACCUCAAAGUUCAGACUUUUCUUAACAUAAGUCAUAAUGCAAAUCCAACUUUCUUUGAGGAAUAACCAACCUUAAUCAUCUGAUAACAUCAUAGGUUUUAUAAUGGAUACCAAAAGUCAACGCUUAUAGCUUAGUCUUUUUCUGGUAUUGACUUUUGUUGUGCCUUUCCUUGAUUGAAAUUUCUUUUGCUCUUCAUAGACUUGAUAGGCGUUCUCCUUCCUUUAUCUUUGACUUGUAUUUAAGUGAAGGCAAUUUCAACUUCCUUUUUUUUUCAUUCUUUUUUUUCAUAGCCUUCCUCAAAAUUUUCUUAUAUGCCCCCAUGUCUAUGUGUUUUCUUUUAGCUCUCUCUCAAUCAUUGGACCUUUGUUCUAAGCCUUCCCCUUUAUCCAUUAAUUAUAUCAAUGUCUCCAAAAUAUCUCUCAUUUGCCCCCAAUGUGGGGUGUGAUCCUAGUCAGGGUUUCUUUUUUGAAAGAAAAUAUUUUACCAGGCUCAAAAUGGGACUGCAAGGGAUAUAAUCUUUAGAAAGUGAAGGGAUAUCAAAGAUGGCCUUUUCUCAUUUCAAGCAAGGUCGGUUAAACCGAUAAAUUUUGACCUCAUCCAGUGUAAUGAUUGGGACUUGUAAGAAUCAUGAUUCACGAGUCCAACUACCGAAUCCACUACAUGUCAUUAUGCAUACUGUUAAAACUUAGCUAUAUGAUGUGUGGUUCAGUUUCAGGUAUGAGUUCAAAAUUGUUUGGUCACCUCAUGUCAUUUUCAAGCAUAGAGUCAUUUCUGUAAUCAAAACACUUAAUCUUCCGGAUUGAUUAACCUUUAUCGCAUGUUGGAGUUUGAUCAAAAUAUUUUGUCAGAAUAAAAUGCUAAACAUCUGUUGAUUUCAAAACAACAAAGAGACAAAAGCAAGGCAUGUUUCGUUGAAGGAUGAGAUGUGAUCCCAAAACAAAAUGCAGAAUUCCAUAACAAUAUGAUUGACUGUUCAUCACCAUUCUGAAUCAGCUUUUCUGGCAAUAUCUGUGUUUUGCAAGCAUUUUCGAUCACAUGUGAUUCUGAAGUUGUUCGGGGAACAAUAUAGCCAGUGACACCCUUCUUCAACGACUCCACUGUCUCUUGCUCACCAACUUUCAGACUCCAUUCUUGCAAUUCUUGAAACUGUUCACUUGAAAUGGUUGAGGACCCCACCAUGACAUCACAUCUCUUAUCUGGAUUAUACCACUAGAAAUUGGUGGUUGCAUGGGAUUUGUCGGAGUCAAGCAAAAUUCUGGAAUCUGGAUGCUGGUCGACAACUUAAACGGCAGAGGAAUGUCCCAUCUUGGCAAAGAUAUUUGAGCAAUUGAUGAUGCCGUGAGACCUGGCUAUACCACAUAAUUAAGGGUUCACACGUCAAAGUCAUCUCCUGAUUCACCUCUCAUCAUUGUUCUAGAAUCCAUGGCAGAUCCUUCAAUCUUUCUUCUCUUCAUAGCUUGUUCAAUUCUUCGGCAAAUCCUCACACAUUAUUUCAAUCUUCCAAUGUUGCUAUGGUUGGUUGAGGAUUGUUAGAAAACUUUCUAACAGCUUGGUAAUCUUGGCAGCGCCCAGAAACUUGUAGUAUCGCCACUACCGACGUGUGGAAUCACACAUUGUCUUUAUUGGAAGAGCACCUGAUGAAUCUAAAACUCCUUUGUCCCCUCUUCAAUUUCUCACUGACAGUGCAGCAAACAAACACCUAUAGAGGAAGUCCUGCUCUGUUGAAGUUUCAGUAUUCUUCAUGUUUUUUAGUCUAGGCAUGUCUCUUCUCUCUACUUUUGCAUUUUAAUACUGACACUGUUGGAGGAAAAUCAUAAUGAUCUGAAACUACUGUAUUCCUUCUUGGAUUUCCCACUUGCGGAUCCACAAACAGAUUCCUGUGAGAGCUCUGCUACGUUGAAGUUUGAUGUCUGCUCAUAUUUUUCAAGCCAAGUCUGGCUCUUCAACCUACUAAGUUUCUUCGUGCUGAAACUGAUGAGAGAAAUAUUUGUAGCAUAUGCAAUUAGUAAAUCCCCUCUUGCAUUCCCAAUUUGCAGAGCCAUAAAUGGAUUUUUGUAGAGAGAGCUCUGCCACAUUGAAGUUUGACAACUGCUAAUAUUAUCAGACCAGGUCUGACUCUUCUGCCUACUACAAUGUUUUGCUGGUGCCACUGGUGGGAAAUAGUUUCAAAGCAUAUGAAAUUAAUACAUUCCCUUUUGCAUUUGCCAUUGACAGAUCCACAAAUAAAUCUCUACAGAGAGAGCUCUACCGCGUUGAAAUUCAGUGUCUGAUCAUGGUUUUUUUUUUUUCAGACCAACAUCUUGUGCUGCUGAACUGGAAUUGAGCUCAUAAUUGGGGUAACUUCAAAGCAGACUAAUGCACCAUGAACAGGAGGUUAGUAGUCGUUUGGUUCCAUUAGAUGAUGUGGAGGCGAUGAAUACUUAACAGCGCAACUGGACAGGAAUCAGAGUUGUCAUUAGUUGAUGACUGAAGGCGUUGUUGUGUUCAUGACUGAAAAGGAAAGGUACAGCUUCAAUUGGACGUGAACAAGCAGUGUUCCCACAGAAAACUGUGCAGACAUUCUCUUUCAUUUGAUGCUCAACACUUGUUCGAGCAGAUCUGAGUCCCGCUACUUCACUCUUGAUGCUCUCAACCUUAAUCUGAUACUGAACCUAUAUCUGACUCCUUUGUUCACUUCCAUUAUUUUUCUUCAAUCUCGUGCAGCACAACUUGUACAAGGGACCUACGUUUCGCCCGGUUCAUGCAUGAUAAAUGUAUGAACAUGUAAUCUAUAUGAUGAACUCCCUUCGAGAGGUGACAAUAUGGUCGUAACUCUUGUAUGAUGGACAAGAAUCGUGAUUUUUGCCCAAACUCUACAAUGAAAAUUUUCGGAGCAACGGCCAAUGUGUCACCCACAAGUCUUGAGUUCAAGAUGCUUCAAGAAGGGUUUGCCCUUAUGCAAAAAACGAUAGCACAUACAACCUAAGGACAGGUUCUAUUCAUUAUGUGAACAUGGGUAAGUUUUCUAUCUGGUCUCAAAAGGGUCUCAUAUCUGCCCAGUGACGUUCUUCGUAAAGACAGUAUGGGGGCGUUGCAAGGAAUGGUUAAGGUACGUAUACCCACCAUUACCAAGCAGGCACUCAGAUAUGAGUUGGGUGUUUCACGCAUCUGAACCCUGACCAAUAGUCUUAGGGCAGAUCGCUAGUUCCCCACCUAACCUAGAAGCUUGUGUGUGCUUUUAAAAAUAAAUACAGGUGAUGCAUGAGACAAUUCUAUAAAAUGCAUGGAAAUAAAUAUUAACAAAAAGAUAAAAAUGCAAAAACUUAAACACAUCAAAUACACAAAGCUUAGUCCAAUAAUCGAAAAAAUACCUUCCCCAGUGGAGUCGCCAUUCUGUCGCACCCCAAAAAAAUCAGCGCGGCAUCGGCUGGCGAUUUUCUCGUUGUUGCGUUUGCUUGAAUUUGGUUCGUUGGAGUCGCCACCUAGUAAUUGAUUCGGGCUACUAGGAAACCGGAUGUACUGGUCUUGUCAGAGAUUCGCGGGUAAGGGACUGGUUGUGGUUAGGGAAGGUAUUAGCACCCCUAACGCACCCUACCUGAGGUAAGCUGCUUCGUGGCUUUGACGUGUUAAAGAAGUUUUAAUAAUUGUCUUUUUUCGGAAAUUAGAAAUAUCACUUACGUAUAAGUUAAUAAUUCUUAACCGUGAUCCGAUCAAAAUAUUAAAUUCUUUUAUAUUUGCAAUUUUAUCAUUAAAAAAAUAUAUACAAAUAAAUAAAACAAAAUACAAACACACACAUCACUAUUUUCAUUUCUUUCUUUUCUUUUUUCUUUUCUUUUACAUACAUCAUACAAAUACAAAUACAAAUACAAAUACAAAAUUCAAAUUCAAAUAAAUAAAUAAAAUACACCAACACACACAUCCCUUUUUUAUUAUUAUUUCUUUUCUUUUCUUCUUUUUUUUUUCUUUACAUUCACAUAUUACAAAUUUAAAAUAAAUAAACAAAAAUUACAUUAAAACUUUAAAAUUUACAAAAUGGUCCCUAAACAAUCCCUAACAGUACUGGGAAACCCUUCAGGAACAGUUCUGGCUGCCUGAACAGUAGCGGCGCGUGGACCCCACGCACCGCCGUGACUGGCGGCGCGUGGCUCACGCGCCGCCCCGAAAAUCAGGCAGCGUGAGGGGCUGCAAUGGCUUCCUCCCCUCUUCUCUCUUGCUAUCCGUCACCUGCAAAUCCAAAAAAAACACACAGCAAGCAGUCGAUUUUAAGUUUUCGGGGUCUAGAUCUUUUUUUGGGUCUUUUCCGUUUUGAAUCCGCUUCUCCUUUACAGAUCGGUCCUUCUCCUUUUUGUUCCCCUUCUCUGUUUCAGGUGGUCAUUUCUAUGACCAAGGGGGAGGCGCCGGCUGCUAGGCUUUCGUUGUUGCUCGCGGCCGCUGGAGCUGUUGCAGGGAUGGGUGAGAUGCUGGCGGACGUCGAGGCGGAGGAGUGACAGAUCGGUGGUGUCUCUGCUGGAGGCUGUGAGCUGGGUCUGUGGGUGCUGCCA
Molecule: long non-coding RNA, 9007 nt
Filed under: Populus tremula
Lineage: Eukaryota; Viridiplantae; Streptophyta; Magnoliopsida; Malpighiales; Salicaceae
Description: long non-coding RNA (PTRE_LNC001434)
Source: RNAcentral